GGAUGACGGCCUUCGGGUUGUAAACUCCUUUUGUCAGGGACAAUGGUGAUGGUACCUGACGAAUAAGCCACGGCUAACUCUGUGCCAGCAGCCGCGGUAAGACAGAGGUGGCGAGCGUUGUUCGGAAUUACUGGGCUUAAAGGGCGCGUAGGCGGUGGUGUAAGUCUGGGGUGGAAUGCUACAGCUCAACUGUAGAGCUGCCUUGGAAACUGCAUUACUUGAGUCGGUGAGGGGAAGGCGGAAUUCCUGGUGUAGCGGUGAAAUGCGUAGAUAUCAGGAGGAAGGUCUGUGGCGAAGGCGGCCUUCUGCNACUUGACUGACGCUGAGGCGCGAAAGCGUGGGGAGCAAACAGGAUUAGAUACCCUGGUAGUCCACGCCCUAAACGGUGGGUAUUAGGUGUGGGGCCUUCAUGGGUUCCGUGCCCGAACGAACGCAUUAAAUACCCCCGCCUGGGGAGUACNGGCGCAAGGUUNAAACUC
RNAcentral lists this ribosomal RNA (479 nucleotides) under uncultured bacterium. RNAcentral describes it as "bacterial SSU rRNA". It matches the Rfam family "Bacterial small subunit ribosomal RNA", at positions 406 to 902 of the family's 1533-position model. The record is from RNAcentral.